This 524-nucleotide ribosomal RNA is filed under the name uncultured bacterium. RNAcentral's name for it is "partial 16S ribosomal RNA". It matches the Rfam family "Bacterial small subunit ribosomal RNA", at positions 28 to 523 of the family's 1533-position model. The record is from RNAcentral.
GACGAACGCUGGCGGCGUGCCUAAUACAUGCAAGUCGAGCGCAGGAAACUGACGGAACUCUUCAGAGGGAAGGCAGCGGAAUGAGCGGCGGACGGGUGAGUAACACGUAAGGAACCUGCCUCAAGGAUUGGGAUAACUCCGAGAAAUCGGAGCUAAUACCGGAUAGUUCAUCGGACCGCAUGGUCCGUUGAUGAAAGGCGCUCCGGCGUCACCUUGAGAUGGCCUUGCGGUUGAUUGGGUAGUUGGGGGGGUAACGGGCCACCAAGGCGACGGGUGAUUGGCGAACGCGGGGGGUGGUCGGCCCACACUGGGCUAGAGAACGGGCCAACAUCCUUCGGGGAGGAGGCAGAGGGAAACUUUCCCAAUAGGACGAAGUCUGAUGGGAGAACGCCGGGUUGGUUGAGAAGGUUUUCGGAAUGUAAAACUUUGUUUGAAGGGAAAAAACAGUUACAGGGGGAAAGCUUGGAACGUGGCCGUACCUUAACAAGAAGGCCCGGCCAAACAAGUUCCAACCGCCCCCGUAA